Molecule: non-coding RNA, 260 nt
Rfam family: T-box leader
About the family: Uncharged tRNA acts as the effector for transcription antitermination of genes in the T-box leader family. T-boxes are found upstream of many aminoacyl-tRNA synthetase genes and some amino acid biosynthetic genes usually in Gram-positive bacteria.
UUAAAGAUAAUGAAGAGGAGAGUAAAUAUAGAAAUUCAAUCCUAGCGAGCUGACGAUGGUGAAAGGUUGGCAUUGAAACUAUAUGGAAGAACACCUCAGAAUCUCUAACCCAAAUUGUGACAUUAAUGGCACGAAAGUAGGCUUAGACGGAUCCAAACCGUUAAGAAUUGGAGAGUAUACAAUUGAUUGUGCUCGUUAAAGUGGUCAUGUUUUUAUGACAAAUUAGGUGGUACCGCGAAUAUUUAACCUUCGUCCUGAUA